Molecule: transfer RNA, 73 nt
Organism: Camelus ferus (Wild Bactrian camel)
Lineage: Eukaryota; Metazoa; Chordata; Mammalia; Artiodactyla; Camelidae
Rfam family: tRNA
About the family: Transfer RNA (tRNA) molecules are approximately 80 nucleotides in length. Their secondary structure includes four short double-helical elements and three loops (D, anti-codon, and T loops).
Source: Rfam
GAGAGUAUAGCUGAAGUGGUAAAGCACAUGCUUAGCACGCAUGAGGUCCUGGGUUCAAUCCCCAGUACCUCCU